GCAGCUGAGGCAUCUCGUAAUCACCAGGACCAAAUAUGCUACUGAAUGAAUUCUCCUACUGUGGGAGAAAUCUUUCUAACACACAGGAGGAAAGGAGGAAAGAAACCAGCCUCUCAAAGCUGUGGGCUGUGGCAGGACCGUGAUGGUUAUCUUCCUGGGGGAUCAUCAACAUCCCCUAAAGGUGGAAUGACUGGCUCAGCUGAAUGGGCCAGGGAACACGAAUCUGAAAUCAAACGUUGGUUGAAGGGCACAGUCAAUGAGGAAAGGCAGCGGAUGUAUGUGGACAAUCACGUGUGCCGGGGUGUAAGUUUGGUUCAUUUGGAAUUGAGAGCAGCUGAAUCUCCUUGUUGCUCAGUGAUCAACACAUCUUCUGGGAAAACCAUCCCGUUUCAGACAACUUCCAGCCUGAGGAUUCGGCAGGACUCUCUCCCUCUCACAUAAUUUCACUUCCUUAGCGUGUCACUGGAUGAGCAGCGUCAGCCUCCUGUGGAGCUCAUUAGAAAUGCGGGCUCUCAGGCUCCAUUGCAGACCUGUGGCAUCAGAAUCUGCUUUUUAGUAGGAUUCCAAGGACAAAGUCCAAACGCCUUAUUGCCAUGGCCAUCCCAGCUGCCGCUCCAAGUGCCUCAGGAGGAUUCAGACAGGCCGCUACAGCAGACAGAGCUUCCAGGCCGUCUACACUAUUGCCACAGCUCUCAUAGACUCCCCAGGCCUUGACCGUGAAGGAUGACAAGUGCUCAGUUGAUGGAGACGGGUGGAGGGGGCAUGGUCUGGGCCAGGGGGCUGUCACCAAGGAAGGGAUAUAGAAGCUUUCACUCCAGUGGCUAAAGGGACACUUGCAAUCUUGUCCUCGUCUGGGCUGGCAUUUGUGUCCAAAGGUCCACCCAG
RNAcentral lists this long non-coding RNA (885 nucleotides) under Equus caballus (horse). RNAcentral's name for it is "lncRNA (ENSECAG00000045300.1)". Lineage: Eukaryota; Metazoa; Chordata; Mammalia; Perissodactyla; Equidae. The record is from RNAcentral.